UAAAACAAGCAAUGCCUCCUUUUAAAGGAAGUGUAAAAACAGACAUCUGUAACCUAAUAUCGCUUCUGUUCAGUUGAGUUCACUUUUAAAAAUAGUCACAGGACGCUGCGGGGUUUUCUCCAUAAACAGACAACAAUGAAAACCAAACUUAUCAUUUUAUUUUAUAACUUUAAAUGAGGAAAGAUCCGGUGGUGAUGGAUAGCAGCCGUCAAUCAUAAAGACCGGCAGCCCUCGGCGUAAACGUGAAUUUGCUGCAAACACUUUUUUACAAGCCAGUCGCAGCCUCCACGCUCUCGCUGGACGCCAGCUAACGAGGCGAAGAGCUCAUUAAACUUUGAUGAUAACGCGCCGAGGAACAACAGGCUGAUCCGUGUCGCCAGGCCAGCAAAGAUAACUUCUUGACUCUCUUGAAAUACAUUUCCGUCCAUUAGGAAUGUUGAUGGAAAACCUCUGGAGCAGCUUGGUUGAUCUUGGUGUGUUUUCUCCUGCGUUGCGUCCAGAAUGGAGAACAAGGCUGUGGAUCGCUGACAGAGAGGAGACCUGGAGAAGCGCAGCGUGACCCGUUUACGCUCAGAGACGGAUCCAGGACUCUGAACUGAUAAAGUCAGCGUUACUCGGGGCAGAGAUUUACCUUUUAGCGUUUGAAGCGAGCAGCUUUGCUGAGUUUCAUCAAGAUGUUUUAAUGAUUUAAACCCUGCUGUAGACGUGCUCAUUAAAAUCAAAUACAAAAGAGCAGAGCGUCAAAAGCUGAAUCAUAAACCUGGAUG
Molecule: long non-coding RNA, 767 nt
Organism: Poecilia reticulata (guppy)
Lineage: Eukaryota; Metazoa; Chordata; Actinopteri; Cyprinodontiformes; Poeciliidae
Source: RefSeq, a predicted model, not a curated record